AUGUCUUCUCCAUCUCCAUCACCUCCGGUGGUUCCUUCUCAUCCCACUUUUCCUUUUCAUUAUACUCGUUGUCGACGUGUUAUGGAUGAAUCUACUGACAUGCCAUCUAUUUCUGGUGCACUGUCUUCCUCGUCCCAGCCGACUUAUGGUCUUCAGGCUCGACCUUGCCCUCCUCCUGACCGCUAUUCUCCUAGCAAAUAUGGCCUUUCGGUUGUACUUGAGCCUACCUCUUAUCGUGAUGCUGUUGUUCAUCCUGAAUGGCAGUUUGCGAUGGCAGAGGAGAUUGCCGCACUUGAGCGCAACAACACAUGGGAUCUGGUUUCUCUUCCUCCCCGUAUUCCUCCCAUCACUUGUAAGUGGGUUUAUAAGAUUAGGACUCGCUCUGAUGGUUCUCUUGAGCGUUAUAAAGCUCGUCUUGUGGCUCGUGGCUUUCAGCAGGAGCAUGGUCGUGAUUAUGAUGAGACUUUUGCUCCUGUGGCCCAUAUGACCACUGUCCGCACACUUCUCGCCGUGGCCUCUGUUCGUCACUGGUGUGUGUCACAGCUUGAUGUUAAAAAUGCCCUUCUUAAUGGUGAGUUGCGUGAGGAAGUUUAUAUGCCGCCACCACCUGGGUAUUCAGUUCCCGAUGGUAUGGUUUGUCGUCUUCGUCGCUCUCUAUAUGGCCUUAAGCAAGCCCCUCGCGCUUGGUUUGAGCGUUUUGCCUCUGUGAUCACCGCUGCUGGGUUUUCACCCAGUGAUCAUGAUCCAGCGUUGUUUGUCCACCUUUCUGCUCGUGGUCGCACUCUUCUUCUAUAUGUUGAUGACAUGAUCAUCACUGGCGACGAUUCUGAGUACAUUGCCUUUGUCAAGGCGCGUCUUAAUGAUCAGUUCCUUAUGUCUGAUCUUGGUCCUCUUCGUUACUUUCUUGGGAUUGAGGUUUCCUCCACCUUUGAUGGCUUUUUUAUUUCCCAAGAAAAGUAUAUCCAGGAUCUUCUUACUCGUGCGGCUCUUAGUGAUGAGCGCACUACUGAGACUCCUAUGGAGCUCAAUGUUCACCUUCGUGCUUCUGACGGUGUGCCCUUGUCUGAUCCGACACGUUAUCGUCAUCUUGUUGGGAGUCUUGUGUAUCUUGCUGUCACUCGUCCGGAUAUCUCCUAUCCUGUCCAUAUUCUGAGUCAGUUUGUUCUGCUCCCACUUCAGUUCAUUAUAGUCACCUUCUUCGUGUUCUACGAUAUCUUCGUGGCACGAUCUCUCAUCGUCUCUUUUUCCCCCGUUCCAGCUCGUUCCAGCUCCAGGCCUAUUCGGAUGCUACGUGGGCUAGUGAUCCUACGGAUCGCCGUUCACUUUCUGCCUACUGUGUCUUUCUUGGUGGUUCCCUCAUUUCCUGGAAGACGAAGAAACAGACUGUAG
This 1389-nucleotide ribosomal RNA is filed under the name Triticum aestivum (bread wheat). Its description in RNAcentral is "partial small subunit ribosomal RNA". Lineage: Eukaryota; Viridiplantae; Streptophyta; Magnoliopsida; Poales; Poaceae. The record is from RNAcentral.